RNAcentral lists this ribosomal RNA (498 nucleotides) under uncultured bacterium. RNAcentral's name for it is "partial 16S ribosomal RNA". It matches the Rfam family "Bacterial small subunit ribosomal RNA", at positions 30 to 523 of the family's 1533-position model. The record is from RNAcentral.
AUUGAACGCUGGCGGAAUGCUUUACACAUGCAAGUCGAACGGCAGCACGGACUUCGGUCUGGUGGCGAGUGGCGAACGGGUGAGUAAUGUAUCGGAAUGUGCCCAGUCGUGGGGGAUAACGUAGUGAAAAUUACGCUAAUACCGCAUACGAUCUAUGGAUGAAAGCGGGGGAUCGCAAGACCUCGCGCGAUUGGAGCGGCCGAUAUCAGAUUAAGUAGUUGGUGGGGUAAAGGCCCACCAAGCCAACGAUCUGUAGCUGGUCUGAGAGGACGACCGGCCACACUGGAACUGACACGGUCCAGACUCCUACGGGAGGCAGCAGUGGGGAAUUUUGGACAAUGGGCGAAAGCCUGAUCCAGCCAUUCCGCGUGCAGGAUGAAGGCCCUCGGGUUGUAAACUGCUUUUGUACAGAACGAAAAGGUUUCUACUAAUACUAGGAGCUCAUGACGGUACUGUAAGAAUAAGCACCGGCUAACUACGUGCCAGCCGCCGCUGUAA